ACACAUGCAAGUCGAACGGAGCACCCUUGAUUGAGGUUUCGGCCAAAUGAUAGGAAUGCUUAGUGGCGGACUGGUGAGUAACGCGUGAGGAACCUGCCUUUCAGAGGGGGACAACAGUUGGAAACGACUGCUAAUACCGCAUGACGCAUUUUGAUCGCAUGGUCGAAAUGCCAAAGAUUUAUCGCUGAAAGAUGGCCUCGCGUCUGAUUAGCUAGUUGGUGAGGUAACGGCCCACCAAGGCGACGAUCAGUAGCCGGACUGAGAGGUUGACCGGCCACAUUGGGACUGAGAUACGGCCCAGACUCCUACGGGAGGCAGCAGUGGGGAAUAUUGGGCAAUGGGCGCAAGCCUGACCCAGCAACGCCGCGUGAAGGAAGAAGGCUUUCGGGUUGUAAACUUCUUUUAAGUGGGAAGAGUAGAAGACGGUACCACUUGAAUAAGCCACGGCUAACUACGUGCCAGCAGCCGCGGUAAUACGUAGGUGGCAAGCGUUGUCCGGAUUUACUGGGUGUAAAGGGCGUGCA
Molecule: ribosomal RNA, 524 nt
Filed under: uncultured bacterium
Lineage: Bacteria
Description: bacterial SSU rRNA
Rfam family: Bacterial small subunit ribosomal RNA
Source: RNAcentral